CCAACAGAGCUGGGGCUGGAAGGAUGGAGGCCUCUGGUCCAGCAAGAAGCCCGCUGCCCAGAUGCUCGGGAGGUGGGGGUCCCUGCCUGCCCCAGCCCUGCAGUUCUGAGGUUCAGGGGCCCUGGGCUCACAUGAGCUCUGAGAGCAGCAAAGGGGAGAAGGAAGGCUCUGGAAGCCUCUUGGCACGAAACCCCAGCCAGAAACUCUGUCGGCUCCGUCUACAAGGAUCUCCGUGGGGACCAAGGCUCCAAGAAGGGCAACUUUGGGCCAUUUGUGCAUGUCAUCCAUCCCAUCAUUCCGGCACCCAACAGCCACGGUGAGGGCCUCCCGUGGGCGCAGCCUGCCUCAUGGGGCCUCAUGAGCCUGUGGGGGAAGAGACAGCUCCUCGAGUAGGUGCCUCUGCUCGUCCCUGGAAAGAGCUCAGCCCUUCUCCACCUGGCAAACUCCUGUUCACCCCUCAACACCCAGAUCUAUGACUCUGACCCAGGUCCCACUAGUUCUGAGGAAGAGCAAGUGGCUUGAUUUGGUGACGGGGAGAACGAGGCGGGUGGGGGAGGUGCAUCCCCAGGCCCACAGGAGGAGCUUGGCUUGUGUGUGGCACGGUCCACACCUCGUGAACCAACCUUCCAUCCAGGAGAGGAGCGAUGAAGAUAGAUGUGCCCGAGCGUGCACUGUGGACCCCUAAGCAGGGCGCGGGGGGUGGAAGGGUGAUGUUGACCUCAGGAUGCUUUCUUCAAGGCUUGUCUCGUGGGGCCUUUGGGGAACAUCUGGCCUGGACCCUCAGGGUCUCUUCCUGCGCUGACUCACGAUGCGACAGCACAGGCUGGAAGGUCCGUGUCCACUGGGAGAGGCUGGACAGGCGAGUGGCAGAGCCCCAGGUGAACGGCCCGUGGGGGGAUGUUGCUGUAUCCACGUUAUUUCCUCCUCCAAACACCAAGACUUCGACGACCGAGGCAGCGACGCCCGCAGGCUGACACUGAUGCACAGAUGGAGUCAGCAACGUGGAUUUGUCCCCACGUCCCUGGUGCAGAGUGAUCCGGGGAAACAGUCCUGGGGAACACGGGGGCACUGCCCGGCUGGGCUGCCAGGGCCCUCUGAGCCCCUCUGCUCCAGUCCUCAUCGGCUGGGCAGGUAUGGUCCAGAGAGGGAAACUGCCCUGCCCAGAGCCACACAGCACAUCAGGGACCAGCCACGGCUGGACAAGGACUGACUGCUGGUGGGGGGUUCCCACCCUUUGUGGGAGAGCCUGGGGCCCCCUGAGCCCUCGCACUCCCAGGCUCUUGCUGGGCCCCCAGGGAAACGCCCUACACCCUCCCGGGCCCUCCAGGCAGCCCUGGCUCCAGCAGGUGCCCUUAUCGAGAAGAGGCAGCCGGGUUUUCUCUGCCCCACGUUUCUCCCCGCUGUGCCACACUGGCAGGCGUUUCUGUCUGCCCGCCUGCCCUCUGCUGGGUCCCUCGGCCAUGGUGAGGGGCUUGGAGCAGGACAAGAAGCCAAGUCUUGCACUUGUGGUUUGGAUCCACGAGAGAAUGGGUGCUGGCUGCUGAGGGCUCCCCUCUGGCUCCUGGGAGGAACACCCGGGACCCAGAGGUGCCGCGCUGUGGUCGAGGCCACGAGGGGUGAGGGGCCUGGGGGCUGAACCUCAGAGGUGGGGCUGAGAGGCUGAGAGUUGGAGAGAAGCAGAACCUGUGGGCGCCUGCAGGGGGGUGGCAGCCGACGGUGCCGGAGACGCCCUCACAGGGCGGACAGAUGCACAGACGCUGCCCACGGGGUUGGGCUUCUCUGGGGCAUGGGGGGAGUGGAGGCUGCCCCACCCCACCUCAUUCCUCCUCACCGAGCCUUCGACCCUGCGCCCUCAGCUCUGUCCCUCCAGCGUCUAGGCCCGUGACAGUGUCCUCUGUUGCACGGAGUGCCAAGCCAAGGACAAGAGCCAGGCCCGAAGCCGGCAUCCCACCCACGCCCACUGGGCCACUCAGCCGAGGCCCUAACGCUGGCCCAGGUUUGAGUCCUGGCUCUGCCUCCUGCAGGACGCGGUGCCUGCAGCCGCUGAGGACUUCUCUGGUCCUCAGUUUCCUCACCUGAAGAGUGGAGGCAAUCAUAGUAUUGGAUCCUUGUGUGGAUUAAACAGCGAUGCUUAGGGCUCCAAAUUGUGCCCGGCACGGAGAAGCUCCUGGUAUGCCCAUAACACGGAUGGAGAGACCGAGGAACAGAGAAGUCUGUAACUGAUCCAAGGCCACACAGCAAUGGUGGGGCCAGGAUCUGGACCCCGUGCUCUCACCCGCACCCACAUUCCAGCAGCUGAACAGCUCAGCCUUCGACUUGGGGUGCUGUGCGGGCGUUACAGCACCAGAAAGAAUGUCACAGUCAGCAUCAGACAUCGCUGCUCUGAAUGAGGCACGAGGCACAGAGCAGUUGGCACAACAGAGAAGCCCCCCCCAUCUAGGGAAUUUCUGUGCUGGCCUGGGGAGGGGGACACGGACGACAAACAGGCAAACCAGCAGAUGGACAGAUGGCUCGAUGGAUGAGUAGGCUGAGACGGGUGACGGGGCACACUACGGCCUCUCUGAGGAGGUGACACUUUUGCAGAGAGGGAAUGACUAGGAAGACAGAGUGGACAGUCCAGCAGGCGGAGGGCAGGGCGAAGGUCGGAGGUGGGGUCAAGGUUGGGGCCUGGGGGGUCAGACAGGAGCCCGGAGCUGGGUGCCGGGUCCGCCUGGGGUCAGACUUCCUCUGCCGCGUCCUGGGAGGGUUUAAGCACCGGCAGGGGCGGCCUGAUGGCAGCUCUGGGGGGGGAGCCCAGCUUCCCCGGAGAGGCACAGAGCUUUGGCGCCGUCUGCCCUGGGUGGAUCCCAUCCCUCCGGCCAGAGCCUGGGCUCGGCUACGGACUGUCCUCAGACCGUCCACCCGGAGAGGACAGCGAAGGCCAGCUGGAGUGUCAUCAGCAAGGUGGUUAUCACUGAGUCCUGACGCCAACGCCCAGCGCAGGGCCCGCCUCGGUGCAGGGGAAGCUCUACGCCCGCCCCCCUCUCCCGCCUACAGCCUCUCUUGUCCGUCUCCCCCAGCCUCGGCCCUGGCCCCGGCCCCAGGGGCUCGGCAGAGGAACUCAGAUGGUUCAUCUCUUCCCGUGAAGUGCCAGCCUAGCAGCAGGAGAGCCCUGCACUUGCUGGAGAGAUUUCCCGUCCGGAGGAGCAGGGGUACUGUCCUGAGCAGCGGGGGCUCUGCGGGCAGCUCUGCCUCCCACACCCUGUGAGACCCCAGCCAGGGCCGCCUCCUGGGCCUCUGCUCUCUGCAGCGCAACAUGGGCCAGUGGGCCCAGCUCUCAGGCUGCAGCUCAUCCCCAACUGCAGUUUGUCCCCUCCUGUAGCUCAUUCCUUCCUGAAGCUUGUCCCUUCCUGCAAUGUGCCCUCCUCGUGCUCCUAUAAGCCUUACUACCCCAGGGUGGGGACGUGGGGGUGAGAGGCAAGAACAGGACUCAGAAGAGACAGGCCUGCCCAUCGACCGCCAGCAGCCCACUUCUCCCUGCCUCAACGUCCUCAUCUGUCAG
RNAcentral lists this long non-coding RNA (3541 nucleotides) under Equus caballus (horse). RNAcentral describes it as "lncRNA (ENSECAG00000042727.2)". The record is from RNAcentral. Lineage: Eukaryota; Metazoa; Chordata; Mammalia; Perissodactyla; Equidae.